CCAAAAGGCUGACACCCACUCCUCCUAGAACCCUACCAUAACUCACCAUCCUACAAGAGCUUCCUUCUGUUUGGGAUAGAACUUCGGUGGCCUGCAUGCUAGCCAUGAAGCCUUACGAUGGCCUUUUCCUAACCAUAACAACCACUUAUUUCCACUUCAUUUACUUUACAUUUCCCUCUCCUCAUAAGAUUUCAGCAAACC
Molecule: long non-coding RNA, 201 nt
Filed under: Homo sapiens (human)
Lineage: Eukaryota; Metazoa; Chordata; Mammalia; Primates; Hominidae
Description: HSALNT0237635
Source: RNAcentral